UACAGAGGGGGCAAGCGUUAUUCGGAAUUAUUGGGCGUAAAGGGCGCGUAGGCGGCCUGGCAAGUGGAAGGUGAAAUCCCUCGGCUUAACCGAGGAACUGCCCUCCAAACUGCUUGGCUUGAGUAUGGGAGAGGAUGAGGGAAUUCCUGGUGUAGCGGUGAAAUGCGUAGAUAUCGGGAGGAACACCCGUAGCGAAGGCGGCACUCUGGGCCGGAACUGACGCUGAGGAGCGAAAGCGUGGGGAGCAAACGGG
This 253-nucleotide ribosomal RNA is filed under the name uncultured bacterium. RNAcentral's name for it is "partial 16S ribosomal RNA". It matches the Rfam family "Bacterial small subunit ribosomal RNA", at positions 524 to 776 of the family's 1533-position model. The record is from RNAcentral.